GGGAAUGUGGCUUAGUGGUAAGAGUACUUGCCUUGCAUGCAUGAAGCCCUGGGUUUUAUUCCUCAGUACCA
RNAcentral lists this transfer RNA (71 nucleotides) under Dipodomys ordii (Ord's kangaroo rat). It matches the Rfam family "tRNA". From Rfam's summary of the family: Transfer RNA (tRNA) molecules are approximately 80 nucleotides in length. Their secondary structure includes four short double-helical elements and three loops (D, anti-codon, and T loops). The record is from Rfam by way of RNAcentral. Lineage: Eukaryota; Metazoa; Chordata; Mammalia; Rodentia; Heteromyidae.